AUGCUUGCUUUAACAGCACAUAUAUUAAAACUGGAGUGAUACAGAAAAGAUUAGCAUGGUCCCAGUACAAGGAUGAUAUGUAGAUUUGUGAAGAGUUCCAUAAAAAA
Bison bison bison is the source of this 107-nucleotide small nuclear RNA. The record is from Ensembl. NCBI's taxonomy places the organism in Eukaryota, Metazoa, Chordata, Mammalia, Artiodactyla, Bovidae.